GACGAACGCUGGCGGCGUGCCUAAUACAUGCAAGUCGAGCGAGUCUGCCUUGAAGAUCGGAGUGCUUGCACUCUGUGAAACAAGAUACAGGCUAGCGGCGGACGGGUGAGUAACACGUGGGUAACCUGCCCAAGAGAUCGGGAUAACACCUGUAAACAGAUGCUAAUACCGGAUAACAACAGAUGAUGCCUAUCAACUGUUUAAAAGAUGGUUCUGCUAUCACUCUUGGAUGGACCUGCGGUGCAUUAGCUAGUUGGUAGGGUAACGGCCUACCAAGGCGAUGAUGCAUAGCCGAGUUGAGAGACUGAUCGGCCACAUUGGGACUGAGACACGGCCCAAACUCCUACGGGAGGCAGCAGUAGGGAAUCUUCCACAAUGGACGCAAGUCUGAUGGAGCAACGCCGCGUGAGUGAAGAAGGGUUUCGGCUCGUAAAGCUCUGUUGUUGGUGAAGAAGGACAGGGGUAGUAACUGACCUUUGUUUGACGGUAAUCAAUUAGAAAGUCACGGCUAACUACGUG
Molecule: ribosomal RNA, 519 nt
Filed under: uncultured bacterium
Lineage: Bacteria
Description: partial 16S ribosomal RNA
Rfam family: Bacterial small subunit ribosomal RNA
Source: RNAcentral